RNAcentral lists this ribosomal RNA (474 nucleotides) under Triticum aestivum (bread wheat). Its description in RNAcentral is "partial small subunit ribosomal RNA". The record is from RNAcentral. Lineage: Eukaryota; Viridiplantae; Streptophyta; Magnoliopsida; Poales; Poaceae.
AUGAAUCACCUUGUUUGGAACUGACGGGGCGUGGGGAACCGUCGGACAGUUCGUGACUUACUGGCCCUUGUUAGGGCUAAUUCACCCCGACUUGUCUUUCUCUGCUAGAUGAGACAGGCUGUUGUAAAAGUGGAGAAACUGCGAUGGAGACUUGGGCUCCGUGGCUUUCGAGAUGUUGAUUCAGUUGGGAAAGGUGGUGGACUUGGUCUGUUUUGGGAGGAGACGCUCCAGGUGACAGUUCUGGAGGCUUGUGCAAGAUUCAUAGAUGUACACGUAUUUGAUCUUGGUAUAGAUAAAAAAUGGCGGGUUACAUUCAUUUAUGGAGAACCUCGGGUGGAGAAUAGAAGGAUCAUGUGGGAUCACCUUACUAGGUUGAGAGGGGUUUCAAAUGAUCUGUGGCUUGUAUGUGGAGACUUCAAUGAAUGUAUGUGGCAGCAUGAACAUCUUUCGAGUACACAGCGUAGCCCGGCUUAG